Molecule: small RNA, 189 nt
Filed under: Arabidopsis thaliana (thale cress)
Lineage: Eukaryota; Viridiplantae; Streptophyta; Magnoliopsida; Brassicales; Brassicaceae
Description: ATSL214780
Source: RNAcentral
AUUUUUUUUGAAUAUCUGGAAAUUCAAACUCAAAGACCUUACAUUUUCUAGAGGCGGGAUCCACACCAGAUUAAAUUCAUAUCCUUUGGGAAAGAAAUCUCUUCCAACAUGCCUCAAACCCAGUAUUUCUAACUGAGAGAUUUACCUACAUAAUUCAACAAUCAUGUCUAUUAUGUUUUCAAUUUAGGA